UCAUCACAAUUUCUUCUUCUCCCAUGAUGCUCAGCAAAUGACAAAGCUCAGGAUAGAAACUCAGGUCCCCUCUGGUGUGAAUUGUGCCACACACACCCCCUUUGGAAGGCACAAAUGGCUACCUUUGGUGGUGUUCUAAUUAAUGUUCUCCCCCCUUUAUUCAACACAGAGGGAAUAAAUCUGAUUCUCUGCCUUCCAGAAGCCCAUGGUGUGCCUGGGAAGACAGGGAAAUACUCACAGAUGCCUCGAAUGCAAGGCAGGCGUUGAAAAGUCUAACAUGUAGCAGUUUGUCAGUAGAUACUUGAAAGAUGGGAAGAUGAGUAACAAUAACUGAGGAGGCAGACGUUAUUUGUGGAUGGAAAUAUAGGAGAACAUAGUGGAAGAGAUGACAUCUGCCAGGUCCGCGGAUGGUAGGCACACGAAGUGAAACACAAUAAAUGCGUGUAUUACUAAGUAAACAGAAUAGAGAACGCUGUGUUCUGGACCUGGGGGCCUGUCAUUUCACAUUUAGCCACCAGAGGGCAGUAUAAGACGUGUUGGUAUUUAAGAGAAGUAAGGUGGUUUUGGUUUUGGUUUUGGUUUUUUCUUUCCCAGGCCCAGUCGUCAGGAAGGUGUUAGUUUCCAGCUUCUGGGGACUUGGCUAAUUCUGAGCAAUGCUAAUGCCCCUGCACAUAACAGGGUCUUGGCUGAAACAGGAGGCUGUAACAUUUGUACGGAGGGAUGACGAACAGUUUUUCCAGACAACAAGAUCCAGGAGAUUGGGUGUGUUCCCAGCGCCCGGCAUGGAGCCCCAGUGUGCUGAGUGAACGCUUCUGGGACGGAGCCUGAGGCUCUGCCAUCCCAGCCUACACCCGGCUGACUCCAGUCCCUGCCUUUCAGCCACGAUGAGGCGCUGUGCCCAGCGUCUUCCAUGUGUCCCAUCACUCAAUCCUCACAAUAACACCAGGAGAGGCCAUUCAUAAUCUGCCUAUGCUGGCAACUGCAUAUUCAAAAAAGGAGUCAGCUUAGAAAUGAGGUCACCGUACUGGAAUGAAGAUGCCGAGGGCAGCAACCUUUUCCGUCCUGUUCACAGCUGCAUCCCACACCCAGCACAGACCGUCCCAUAACAGGGACUGUAUCUUCUUCACCCCAUGGAAGGAAAGAGGACCUGCCGUGGACCAGAGGGGGCUCCAGAGAGUAAAAAGCAAGAGAGUGGUUGUUAUAGGGGGAAAAAAAACAAAAAGCCGUCUUCAGCAAGCUGCUCUCCUGUCCCAAGGCUUGAGGGAGUGGACUUUUCCCUCUUGGCCUUGCCUCAAAGGGACCCCUGAAGACAAAUGUCCUGUUUGGAGCCUCGACACCAGCUUGGCUCCCAGCCAGGGCCUCCCCCGCCUUCCCCUCUCAGUUCCCUCCACUGCAUUGUUUAUUUACACAACUCCCCUCCUACAUUUUAGACUCUAUUAAGAGCUACUAAGAUAAUGUCAUCCGUCCUUGUAACUAUGCGACGAAUAAAAGUAAAACAAAAAUCAGCACAAGAAAACAAGAGGGGUUGGGACAUAAUUCAAUGUAAGGGAAAGCUUGCAAACAGCCAAAGCUUCUCAGUAGAAGAAAGGGCAGCUGUGGGAGGCAGCGAGCCCCUGCCUCAGAGGUUUACAAACAGGAGCUGCAACCACCUGUUGGGAAAGCAGGGCGACGUCUCCUGCAGCGAAAGUAGGACAUAGAAUUCGUAGGUACUGGAUGGCUUCUCUUGGUUCUUCCAAGAAAAAUAUCUGGGCACCAAGGUGAUUAAAUCCUGCUCUGCCAUGCCAGGCCCUUCAGUCUGCACAGAGACGGACAGAGAAGCCUGGGAAGCAGACAUCCCAAGUCAGAGGGUCCCCAGCCUUGCCACUCCAGGGUCACUGAGCAUUGCCCUCCUUGAGCCUGGCUGACCCAUCUUAGGAUGCACUCCUAAGGCCAGUUCCACAGAAAUGCCAGGUAUGCAAUCUCUUAAUUGGAUACUUGGCAGAGAAUGAGGGCAAUUCAUUGCCCAAGCCUACAUGGAGGUAGGCAAGGGAGAAAAGAGUCCUCGGACAGAGCAGAGAAUGCCAAUUUCCAAUUGGCAAGGUGGUGGACAUUUCAGAGAGGAUUACAGGGCAACUCUAACCAGCUGUCACAAGGGCCGAGUGUUGUUCUAACCAGGUGGCCCUGGGUGAACCCUGCUCUCCCGCCAGGCCAGUCUGCCCUGUCCCCUGAACGCGCAGUGCUUCCCUCUGCCUCCACCCCGUGCACACACUGCCUGCUCCACCAAGGUGACUCCACCCUGCUCACAGCCCACCCACAUCCUCCCCAGCCGCCAAGGCCCACCUGAAGCCCACCUCCUUUCUGAAACCUACCCAGACCCCCAGACCACAGGGAUCUCAGCAACUCCAGAAACACCGAUUGGCUAGUGAAAUAAUAACCACAGCUGCCGUUUAUUAAGCUCUUACUGUGUGCCAAGAACAUGGUAAGCACUUUACGUGUAUUGUGCUAAUUCUCAAAACAAUCCUGCAAGGAAGGAAGGUGUCCCCCCUUUAAAGAUGAGAAAAC
Molecule: non-coding RNA, 2541 nt
Organism: Equus caballus (horse)
Lineage: Eukaryota; Metazoa; Chordata; Mammalia; Perissodactyla; Equidae
Source: RefSeq, a predicted model, not a curated record